RNAcentral lists this ribosomal RNA (775 nucleotides) under uncultured Neocallimastigales. Its description in RNAcentral is "partial large subunit ribosomal RNA". It matches the Rfam family "Eukaryotic large subunit ribosomal RNA", at positions 19 to 632 of the family's 3401-position model. The record is from RNAcentral. Lineage: Eukaryota; Fungi; Neocallimastigomycota; Neocallimastigomycetes; Neocallimastigales.
GGAGACUCUGUGCGCGUGCAUAUCAAUAAGCGGAGGAAAAGAAACUAACAAGGAUUCCCUUAGUAACGGCGAGUGAAGCGGGAAGAGCUCAAAUUUGAAAUCUUCAAGGGUUUACCUUGACGAAUUGUAGUUUAAAGAAGUGUUUUCUGUUGAAGUUUUGGUAAAAGUUCUUUGGAAUAGGACAUCAUAGAGGGUGAGAAUCCCGUAUUUGACCAUUAUUUUCAGCUGUGUGAUACACUUUCAAAGAGUCGGACUGUUUGGGAAUGCAGUCCAAAAUGGGUGGUAAAUUUCAUCUAAAGCUAAAUAUUGGCGAGAGACCGAUAGCGAACAAGUACCGUGAGGGAAAGAUGAAAAGAACUUUGAAAAGAGAGUUAAACAGUACGUGAAAUUGUCAAAAGGGGAGCGUUUGACACCAGUGUUGUUUUCUCGAAAAUCAAUUAAAAAAGGCCGGAUUUUGUGUUGUAUUGACCUUAAAAGCUUUCUUCACUCUUUUCUUGUCUUUUUUAAUGCACUUUUCGUUUAACAAGUCAACAUCAGUUUCUUUUGUUGUAAAAGGGUCAUUGGAAGGUGGCUUUCUUUUCGGAGAAAGUGUUUAUAGCCUUUGAUCUCUGCAACCGGAGAGACUGAGGUCUGCAGCGUAGACUCUUCGGGGUUAGAUACAUUUGUGCUAAGCUAUAGCUUUUUAUAGACAACUUGUUGACUAUAUUUAGUCUUGUGGCUUACUCGCUUAUGCUAUUUUACCUACGCUUAGGAUGUUGACAGCAGUAUAGACUGU